This 497-nucleotide ribosomal RNA is filed under the name uncultured Ralstonia sp. RNAcentral describes it as "bacterial SSU rRNA". It matches the Rfam family "Bacterial small subunit ribosomal RNA", at positions 898 to 1398 of the family's 1533-position model. The record is from RNAcentral. Lineage: Bacteria; Pseudomonadati; Pseudomonadota; Betaproteobacteria; Burkholderiales; Burkholderiaceae.
AACUCAAAGGAAUUGACGGGGGCCCGCACAAGCGGUGGGUGAUGUGGAUUAAUUCGAUGCAACGCGAAAAACCUUACCUACCCUUGACAUGCCACUAACGAAGCAGAGAUGCAUUAGGUGCUCGAAAGAGAAAGUGGACACAGGUGCUGCAUGGCUGUCGUCAGCUCGUGUCGUGAGAUGUUGGGUUAAGUCCCGCAACGAGCGCAACCCUUGUCUCUAGUUGCUACGAAAGGGCACUCUAGAGAGACUGCCGGUGACAAACCGGAGGAAGGUGGGGAUGACGUCAAGUCCUCAUGGCCCUUAUGGGUAGGGCUUCACACGUCAUACAAUGGUGCAUACAGAGGGUUGCCAAGCCGCGAGGUGGAGCUAAUCCCAGAAAAUGCAUCGUAGUCCGGAUCGUAGUCUGCAACUCGACUACGUGAAGCUGGAAUCGCUAGUAAUCGCGGAUCAGCAUGCUGCGGUGAAUACGUUCCCGGGCCUUGUACACACCGCCCGUC